CCCUCAUCAACUUUUUUUUUUUUUUUUUUUUUGGUACCACAGAUCAAACUCAGGCCCUUGUGCUUUCAAGGCAAGCAGCAGAACCACUGAGCUAAGUCCCCAGCCCAUGCCCUCAUCAACUUAAGGUCCUCAUCAACAUCAGAUUGCUGCUGCCUUUUGAGCUUUGAGUCACUGGAUACUCCCUCCAGUCCUCACCGGGGUAGUUGGAGGAUGGACUGCCCUCCGAUACAGGGCUUCUCACAAUGAGGACUAUAUGGUCAACUUUCCUUGCAGCUACACUAAUUUCACAAUGGGAAUAUGCCUCCUCCAUGGGCUGCCUGAUGUUGCCGGGCUACUUUCUGUGAUCGCGGUGGAACAUCUCUGGGCCUGGGUCUCCUUCUGCCCCUGGCUUGAGAGUUGGGAGAUG
RNAcentral lists this long non-coding RNA (406 nucleotides) under Fukomys damarensis (Damara mole-rat). RNAcentral describes it as "lncRNA (ENSFDAG00000026582.1)". Lineage: Eukaryota; Metazoa; Chordata; Mammalia; Rodentia; Bathyergidae. The record is from RNAcentral.